Molecule: ribosomal RNA, 1320 nt
Filed under: uncultured Alphaproteobacteria bacterium
Lineage: Bacteria; Pseudomonadati; Pseudomonadota; Alphaproteobacteria
Description: bacterial SSU rRNA
Rfam family: Bacterial small subunit ribosomal RNA
Source: RNAcentral
GAACGUACGCUGGCGGCACGCCUAACACAUGCAAGUCGAACGAAGUAGCAAUACUUAGUGGCAGACGGGUGAGUAACAUGUAGGUAUCUGCCCUUUGGCCUGGAAUAACACGAGGAAACUUGUGCUAAUACCGGAUAAGUCUUUACGGAGAAAGCUUUAUGCACCAUUGGAUGAGCCUGCACUUGAUUAGUUUGUUGGUGGGGUAAUGGCCUACCAAGACUGUGAUCAAUAGCUGAUUUGAGAGGAUGAUCAGCCACAUUGGGACUGAGACACGGCCCAAACUCCUACGGGAGGCAGCAGUGGGGAAUCUUGCACAAUGGAGGAAACUCUGAUGCAGCGAUGCCGCGUGAGUGAAGAAGGCCCUUGGGUUGUAAAGCUCUUUCGUCGGGGAAGAAAAUGACUGUACCCGAAUAAGAAGGUCCGGCUAACUUCGUGCCAGCAGCCGCGGUAAUACGAAGGGACCUAGCGUAGUUCGGAAUUACUGGGCUUAAAGAGUUCGUAGGUGGUUGAAAAAGUUAGUGGUGAAAUCCCAGAGCUUAACUCUGGAACUGCCAUUAAAACUUUUCAGCUAGAGUAUGAUAGAGGAAAGCAGAAUUUCUAGUGUAGAGGUGAAAUUCGUAGAUAUUAGAAAGAAUACCAAUUGCGAAGGCAGCUUUCUGGAUCAUUACUGACACUGAGGAACGAAAGCAUGGGUAGCGAAGAGGAUUAGAUACCCUCGUAGUCCAUGCCGUAAACGAUGUGUGUUAGACGUUGGAAAUUUAUUUUCAGUGUCGCAGGGAAACCGAUAAACACACCGCCUGGGGAGUACGACCGCAAGGUUAAAACUCAAAUGAAUUGACGGGGACCCGCACAAGUAGUGGAGCAUGUGGUUUAAUUCGAAGAUACGCGCAGAACCUUACCAACACUUGACAUGUUCGUCGCGACUCUAAGAGAUUAGAGUUUUCGGUUCGGCCGGACGAAACACAGGUGCUGCAUGGCUGUCGUCAGCUCGUGUCGUGAGAUGUUGGGUUAAGUCCCGCAACGAGCGCAACCCUCACUUUUAGUUGCCAUCAUUAAGUUGGGCACUCUGAAAGAACUGCCAGUGAUAAGCUGGAGGAAGGUGGGGAUGACGUCAAGUCCUCAUGGCCCUUACGUGUUGGGCUACACACGUGCUACAAUGGUAUCUACAACAGGAAGCAAGACUGCGAAGUUAAGCAAAUCCCUAAAAGAUACCUCAGUUCGGAUUGCACUCUGCAACUCGAGUGCAUGAAGCUGGAAUUACUAGUAAUCGUGGAUCAGCGUGCCACGGUGAAUGCGUUCCCGGGUCUUGUACACACCGCC